This 2740-nucleotide long non-coding RNA is filed under the name Capra hircus (goat). Its description in RNAcentral is "lncRNA (ENSCHIG00010005014.1)". The record is from RNAcentral. Lineage: Eukaryota; Metazoa; Chordata; Mammalia; Artiodactyla; Bovidae.
UUUGCAGAGAUGUGGAUGGACAUAGAGAAUGUCAUACAGAGUGAAGUCAGAGAAAAUCAAAUAUAGUAUAGUAAUGCAUAUAUAUGGAAUCUAGAAAAAUAAUAUAGAUGAUAUUAUUUGCAAAGCAGAAAUAGAGACACAGACACAGAGAGCAAAUGUAUGGAUACCAAGGGGGAAAGUGAGGGGGCAGAACUGGGAGACUGGAUUGACACAUGUAUAUUACUGAUACUGUGUAUAAAACAGAUCAUUAAUUAGAACAUGCUGUAAAGCACAGGGAGCUCUACUUAAUGCACUGUGGUGACCGGAAUGGGAAGGAGUCCAAAAGGGAGAGGAUAUAUGUGUAUGUAUAGCUGAUUCAUUUUCCUGUAUAGUAGAAACUCACACAACACUGUAAUGCUUCUAUCCUCCAAUACAAAUGAGCCUUAAAAAUUAAAAAAAAAUUUAUGCUGUAUUAGAAUCCUGACUACCUCUCUGAGUUAAAAAUACACCAAAACAGUUUAUUAGUAAGGAAGGUAUUUAAACCAAAGCAUGGCAGUAUAAGAUCAAUUACUUAUAGCCUAAUAUCAACUUGCACUGUUUUCAAGAGAAAUAAAGUUUGCAGCAUCUAGUAGUCUAAUAACUAUGGUCAACAACACAUUAUUGCUUUGACCAACUGAAUUGUUCCCAUAAUGCAUAAGCUUACUAAUCACUCUAACUUAUAUUGAGAUACUUACUGGUUAGUGUUAAAUAUUUCCCUCUGUUUUGCCUUGAUUACUACAAUGGACAUUUAUUGCUUUCUGCCUAUUCACUGUCAUCACCUUUCUGGGGACUAUGGGUAAACACAUCCUGACUUCUCUGCCUACUGUUUGUUCUUGUGCUUUUGACCAGACUCAACAUGAUACAUGCAGCCCUGAUCCAGACUACUCACUGGCUCACUUUGCUCUGGUUUCAGUGAUGAUUUCAGGAAAGGUCAUUUGUCCCAGUGAUUUCUCAGCAGUCCCCAAACUUUUCGGAACCAGGGACUGAUUUCCUGGAAGAUAAUUUUUCCAUAGAUCAGGUGUAGAGGGGAUAGUUUAAGGGUGAUUCAAGUGCAUUACAUUUAUUGUGCUCUUUUUUUUUAAUUUUUGGGAAUAGUUUAUUGUGAAGCAAUAAGAAAGGAAAUUUUAACAUAUGUAAUAUCAGAAUAUGAACACAUAUGAAGAGAAUCCUGUGAUAAAGCAAAAACAAUUGUUCCCCCACCUUCAUUUUCACAUGUAGUUAUGGGGUUCACAAGCUACUCAGUCAUUAUUAUGCUUAAUACUGUGAGGAUCAAAUAGCUUUUUCAGAGAUUUUGUACUAUUUGAAUGUAAUAGUUAAUGGAUUCUUAAGUGGUUUUAGUAGGACCAUUCUCACCACAAGAAUGGAAAAUUGUACACUUUAUUUCUAAUCUAAUGCCACUGCUCCUCUGCAGCAGGUAUUGGUCCUUGGCCUGCAGGCUGGGGACCCCUGCUCUACCCCUAUUUUCUGAGCAUAAACUUGCAAAUUAAAUUAACCAUAUUACUUUAUCUAUCAUAGAAUGAAAGAGUUGGAAAUGACCUUAAAUAGCAUGUAAUCUCUGCUUCCCUUUCUCUUCCUGAAAAAAACUCGUUCUGAAGCCAAAAAAAUGGGUAGAAAAAAGGAAGCAUUGCNNNNNNNNNNNNNNNGGACCGCUGGUGGUCCAGAUCGCAUGGUGGGGUGGCAGAGUUCAAAGAGGGUGGGGCAUGUCUCCAAAUGGAGAGAUUACCUGGCAUGAGAUGUUGGAGCCUGAGAAGACUAAAUAUCUGCAGGGAGUGGGCAGGGCAGCUGCUAUGAAAAGCCAUAGGCUGAGUCGGGUGAGAAAAGCAAAGUUUCCAACGGAAAAAGUUUCACAGUACUGUACUACAAAAUUUUAUUCUUUAUUUGUAAAAGUUGUAUAGAUUUAAGUGGUUUUAAUAUACAUGUACAUCAUGAAAUGAUUACAACACUCAAGCUAAUGAACGUGUCCAUUACCUCACAUAAUUACGUAAAUACUUACUAGUUUUAAAAAGUGAAAGAGUAACUUUGCAGUGGAAAAGCCCAGCAGCCACAACCUCACUCACAGGAUCAAAGUGAACCCCAAAUGGGACAAACUGAAAUCAUAGAUGACCAGAAAAGAUGCAACUCAAACAAUGCAACAUUCCCUUUGUGCUCUUACUGUCAAGUGUAAAUAACUUUAACCAUGAAGCACCAUUACUUAAACCAAACUGAGGAACACUGCACAAAACAAAACAAGUCAAAAAGCCCAAAGAACUGCUACAGAAUGAAAGAAACUAAAGGGACUUCUAGUUUUCAAUUCUGCAUGUAAGGAGCAGGAAGUAGUGAUUCUGUCUCAAUAGUAAGUAAAAAGCUGAACAGGCCAAUAAAUCAAUAACUCUUUUAGAAUCCAUACAAGGGAAGACACAGGGCAAAUUGCUUUCCCUCAAAUUAUGGAGAAAGACAGGAGAAUACAGGGAAUAAGAAUUCACCAGAGCAGAGACUCACAGGAGGAAACCACUGUGGGAACCAGUACAGGGUAGGAAAACCUGAACUGUUAUUGAUGAGUUGUUGAAUGCUCAGUGAGAUGAAAGGAUAUCCCAACUGAAUACGCAGCGUGAUUCUGAACAGUCUUUAUUUGCAAUUAACAAUAUUAUUGUUCAGUUCAGUUGCUCAGUCGUUUCCGACUCUUUGCGACCCCUUGAAUCGCAGCAUGCCAGGCUUCCCUGUCCAUCACCAUCUCCCAGAGUUC